RNAcentral lists this ribosomal RNA (253 nucleotides) under uncultured prokaryote. Its description in RNAcentral is "partial 16S ribosomal RNA". It matches the Rfam family "Bacterial small subunit ribosomal RNA", at positions 525 to 777 of the family's 1533-position model. The record is from RNAcentral.
ACGGGGGGUGCGAGCGUUGUCCGGAAUCACUGGGCGUAAAGGGCGCGUAGGCGGCUUUGUAAGUUAGAGGUGAAAGCCCGAAGCUUAACUCCGGAACUGCCUUUAAGACUGCAUCGCUAGAAUUGUGGAGAGGUAAGUGGAAUUCCGAGUGUAGAGGUGAAAUUCGUAGAUAUUCGGAAGAACACCAGUGGCGAAGGCGACUUACUGGACACAUAUUGACGCUGAGGUGCGAAAGCGUGGGGAGCAAACAGGA